UUUAUCAAAAACAUGGCUCCUUGUAAUUCAUAAAUAGGGAGUCGGACCUGCCCAGUGAAAUAAAUUUAACGGCCGCGGUACCCUGACCGUGCGAAGGUAGCAUAAUCAUUUGCCUUAUAAUUGAAGGCUAGUAUGAAUGGUUUGACUAGAGCAAGACUGUCUCUUUAUAAUUCAAUAGAAUUUUAUUUUUUGGUGAAGAAGCCUAAAUUUAAUUAAUAGACAAGAAGACCCUAUCGAGCUUAAAAAAAAUUAAUAGAAUGCAAGGAAUUUAUAUUAAUAGAAAAUUAAUUAUUAAAAAUUUUGGUUGGGGCGACUCAGGAACAAUUAAAGCUUCCUUAGAUUUUAAGAUCUACAUAUGUUGAUCCAAAUUUUUUGAUUGAAGGAAUUAGUUACCGUAGGGAUAACAGCAUUAUUCUCUUUGAGAGUUCAUAUCGAAAAGGGAGUUUGUGACCUCGAUGUUGGACCAGAAUAUCCUAAAGAUGCAGAAGUCUUUAAAGGUUGGUCUGUUCGACCAUUAAAAUUCUACGUGAUCUGAGUUCAGACCGGCGCGAGCCAGGUCAGUUUCUAUCUUUAAUUUCUUACGUAAGCUUAGUACGAAAGGACCAGCUUAUCGUAUUAAAUACUAAAAAAGAAAAAAUAUAAUCAAGGAUUGUCAAAUUAGCAAACUUAAUGCAAUUGAUUUAGGAUCAGUAGAUAUAGGUGAAAAUCCUUUAUUUGACAAUAUAAAGAUGGCAGAUUUAGUGCAUUAGGUUU
Molecule: ribosomal RNA, 753 nt
Filed under: Cancellaria albida
Lineage: Eukaryota; Metazoa; Mollusca; Gastropoda; Neogastropoda; Cancellariidae
Description: partial 16S ribosomal RNA
Rfam family: Bacterial large subunit ribosomal RNA (bases 1-596)
Source: RNAcentral